This 482-nucleotide ribosomal RNA is filed under the name uncultured bacterium. RNAcentral's name for it is "partial 16S ribosomal RNA". It matches the Rfam family "Bacterial small subunit ribosomal RNA", at positions 28 to 523 of the family's 1533-position model. The record is from RNAcentral.
GAUGAACGCUGGCGGCGUGCCUAAUACAUGCAAGUCGAGCGAACCACUUCGGUGGUGAGCGGCGAACGGGUGAGUAACACGUAGGUUAUCUGCCCAUCAGACGGGGACAACGAUUGGAAACGAUCGCUAAUACCGGAUAGGACGAAAGUUUAAAGGUGCUUCGGCACCACUGAUGGAUGAGCCUGCGGCGCAUUAGCUAGUUGGUAGGGUAAAGGCCUACCAAGGCGACGAUGCGUAGCCGACCUGAGAGGGUGAACGGCCACACUGGGACUGAGACACGGCCCAGACUCCUACGGGAGGCAGCAGUAGGGAAUCUUCGGCAAUGGGCGAAAGCCUGACCGAGCAACGCCGCGUGAAUGAUGAAGGCCUUCGGGUUGUAAAAUUCUGUUAUAAGGGAAGAAUGGCUUUAGUAGGAAAUGGCUAGAGUGUGACGGUACCUUAUGAGAAAGCCACGGCUAACUACGUGCCAGCAGCCGCGGUAA